Molecule: long non-coding RNA, 899 nt
Filed under: Sorghum bicolor (sorghum)
Lineage: Eukaryota; Viridiplantae; Streptophyta; Magnoliopsida; Poales; Poaceae
Description: long non-coding RNA (SBIC_LNC000223)
Source: RNAcentral
AUGUACCACAGUUUGAUUCAUUAGUUGCAAGGCCAAAAUUAAAUGUAACUAGAAUUGCAAAGAAAACUAAUUGAAUGUUAGGAGUAGAACUACAUAUGGUCUAGCUAGUAAUAAUAAAAUGAAAAAUAAACCUAUUGAUAGACAAUUUUUAAUUUGUGCAUGUGGUUCCACCUUCAAAUUGACUUAAGCGAAAGGUUUAUAAAAACCUAUCUUUGGGUUUGCAACAGGUUCGUGGUGGUUUUCAUGGUGGAAGUUUUGUCAUGAAACCACUGUAAUUUCAUAAAUAAAAUAUUAUCAUUAAUCGUUGCUCAAAUUUUAGUUACCCAAUUGGAUUACACUUUUGUUGGGAUUUGACUUCAUCAUAAAACUCCGCCCCUGAACUUUGGAGCCAUAUUUGUAAUUUCUAUGACGAAGCUUGCCUACAGGAAAGUAAACGGCAAAGAUGAUAUUUUGACUUUGCCCAAGAAGAUUCGACUUCGCUACAAAUAAAGAAAAGACUAGAACAAGUCACAAGCGAAGACAAGAUUUUGACCUCGCUUGAUAAGCGAAGUCAGGAGAAGAUGAAAAAGAAUCGACAAAGCCUGAAGUCAACUUCUUUAGAAAGAUUGGCAAGUACAAGUUGAAGAAUGAAGCCUAGAAUAGUGAAAUAAACAACGUCACCAUGUAGUUUAAAGGGGUUGUAUUGAUCAAAAAGAGGGGUAAAAUGGUUAUUUGUAUGUAAAGACUAAGACCUCUAUAAAUACCCCAAAUAUAUAAAGAAGGGCCAUGAAAUGAAUACAACUUUUCACUUGUGUUCCAACUUGGUGUUUGUGUGAUUGUGUUCAAGCCCCACAGUGGGCCCUAAUAUUGGGAAAGUGGUUCCGAAUAGGUUUGGGAGAGGAGAGUGGAAGGAGGUGGCU